This 697-nucleotide ribosomal RNA is filed under the name uncultured Methanosaeta sp. RNAcentral's name for it is "bacterial SSU rRNA". It matches the Rfam family "Archaeal small subunit ribosomal RNA", at positions 1 to 705 of the family's 1478-position model. Lineage: Archaea; Methanobacteriati; Methanobacteriota; Methanomicrobia; Methanotrichales; Methanotrichaceae. The record is from RNAcentral.
UCCGUUUGAUCCCGGCGGAGGUUACUGCUAUCGAGGUUCGACUAAGCCAUGCGAGUCGAAUGUAGCAAUACAUGGCGUACUGCUCAGUAACACGUGGACAACCUGCCCUUGAGACGGGGAUAAACCCGGGAAACUGGGUAUAAUACCCGAUAGAUCUCGAUUGCUGGAAUGCAUCGAGCUUGAAAGCUCCGGCGCUCAAGGAUGGGUCUGCGGCCUAUCAGGUAGUAGUGGGUGUAGCGUACCUACUAGCCUACGACGGGUACGGGUUGUGAGAGCAAGAGCCCGGAGAUGGAUUCUGAGACACGAAUCCAGGCCCUACGGGGUGCAGCAGGCGCGAAAACUUUACGAUGCUGGAAACAGCGAUAAGGGGACCUCGAGUGCCAGGUUACAAAUCUGGCUGUCGUGAUGCCUAAAAAGCAUUGCAUAGCAAGGGCCGGGCAAGACCGGUGCCAGCCGCCGCGGUAACACCGGCGGCUCGAGUGGUAACCGUUAUUAUUGGGUCUGAAGGGUCUGUAGCCGGCCGGAUAAGUCUCUUGGGAAAUCUGGCAGCUUAACUGUCAGGCUUUCAGGAGAUACUGUCUGGCUCGAGGCCGGGAGAGGUGAGAGGUACUUCAGGGGUAGGGGUGAAAUCUUGUAACCCUUGAAGGACCACCAGUGGCGAAGGCGUCUCACCAGAACGGACCUGACGGCAAGGGAC